GACAAUUGACAACAUUUCAUAUUUUUAAGUGCUACUUUUUAUUGUCUACAUCGAAAAAACGCACUAAUUUAAGGUACCCGUAUUUUUUUUAUUUUGCGUAAGUCCUAUAUUUUGGUCAUAAAAUCUAUUUAUAUUGUUACUUGAAACAAAAGGGCGUAUGUAACAAACGUCAUUUAUGAGAAUCGUGACGUCACGGAUCUGUUUAAUACACUGGAAAAAACGUUGAAUUAAUUUACGUUUGAGCAUAGACAACAGUGCGAGUCACAUAACUUCAAACGUUAAAAAUAAAAUCACAAAUUAACAAGUGUCACAAACUUCAAAACUCAAGUCAAACGAUUGGUUUUCAUCCCGUUUUCAAUAAUAUUUUGACAAUGACAAUGUCAACCCAAUCGGAAGUCAUUUCUUUGCUUGUAGUGGCAGAACUGAAGCAGCUGGGUGACGUCAAUUUCCGUUUUAACUAUUUUUAGAGAUUUUGAAUACAAAAAAUCGUAAAAAAUAUAUAAAA
Molecule: long non-coding RNA, 505 nt
Organism: Cydia splendana
Lineage: Eukaryota; Metazoa; Arthropoda; Insecta; Lepidoptera; Tortricidae
Exons: 2
Source: RefSeq, a predicted model, not a curated record